GGAACGUUGCCGGGUGGCCGCUGACAGCCUCAAAGUCGCAAUUGAGUCUGCGCACCGGCCAUUCAGGAUGGGACGACCUUAUACCGCGAUAAGGCUGUGUGGCAGGACAAUCAAUUUCAGAUUCUGGGCGCAGCAUAAAUGGGAAGGGUCGGUUUGAGAAACGGUCAAACCUGGGGACUGGUGAAGGAUAGUGAGCUGCCGACUACGGUGGCCGACUGGGUUCUUUCUGGUAAAAGUAAUGACAUACGCAUCUGUGACAGCAUCCCAAGAGUGAGCCUGGUUUCUGGAAAUCCAUUCCGACUCUGUGACAGCGGGGAUGGAUGUGACCUUGCCCGUGGUUAGAAAACAAAUUUACUGAGUGUCAGAUCUUUUUCCAAGAACAGCAGAAAAUGAUCGAGUACCAGACACCUGUGUCAUUCAAAGAUGUAGUUGUGGGCUUCACCCAAGAGGAGUGGCACAGGCUGAGUCCUGCUCAAAGGGCCCUGUACCGGGAUGUGAUGCUGGAAACCUAUAGCAACCUCGUCUCAGUGGGUUAUGAAGGCACCAAACCAGAUGUGAUCCUCAGGCUGGAGCAGGAAGAAGCACCAUGGAUUGGUGAGGCAGCAUGCCCGGGCUGCCACUGUUGGGUGGCUGUACCUUUUUAUAUUCCAACCAGCAAUGCACAAGGGUUCCAGUUUCUUCACCACCUCGCCAUCCAUCAUUUGUUAUAAUCAUAUGCCACAUAAUGAUGUUUUGGUCAGUGAGGGACCACAUAUACAGUAGUUGUCCCAUAAGAUUAUAGCAGAGCUGAAAAUUUUCUUUUUAUAAAAUUGUAUUAUUAUUAUUUUUUCUUCCAACUCUUACGGAGGUGAAAAAUUUCUACGGCCUAAUGACAUUUUGGUGAUCCUGGCACUGCGUGUACCUAUGCCAAUGUGUUUGUGUCUUUGUUUUUAACAAAAAAGUUUUUAAGAAAUAGAAAAUUUCUGGAGGCUGAGGAAAGAGAAUUGCUUGAACCCAGGAAGCGGAGGUUGCAGUGAGUUGAGAUCACACCACUGCACUCCAGCCUGGGCGAGAGAGCAAGACUGUCUCAAAAUAAAAUAAAAUAAAAAUUUUUAAAAAUUAAAAAAAAUUAUUUUAAGUAGAAGAUUAUAGAAUAAUGAUAUAAAGAAAAUAUUUGUGUACAGCUAUACAAUGUGUUUGAAGGUAAUUUCUUACAAGAGAGUCAAAACAUUUUUAAAAAUUAAAAAGGUUUAUAAAGUAAAGAAGUUAUAGUAAGCUAAGGUUAAUUUAUUACCAAAGAAAAAAUUCAAAUAAAUUUAGUGUAGCCUAAGCAUACAGUACAUAUAAAGUCUACAGUAGUAUACAGUACUGUACUAGCCUUCACAUUCACUCGCUGACUCACCCGGAAUAGCUUCCAGUCUUGCAAGCUCCAUUCAUGGUAAGUGCCAGAUGCAGGUAUACCAUUUUUUAUCUUUUAUACCAUAUUUUUACUGUACCCUUUCUAUGUUUAGACAUAUUUAGAUACAUGAAUACCAUUGAGUAGAAUCACCUACGGUAUCCAGGCAACUUGGAUUUGUAGCCUGGAAGUGAUAGGCUGUACCAUAUAGCAUAGGUGUGUGCCAGGCUACAUCACCUAGGUUUGCGUAUGUACACUCUCUAAUGUUCACAUAAUGAUGAAGUCACCUAACCAUGCAUUACUCAGAAAGUAUCCACAUCAUUACACAAUGCAUGACCAUGUUUACAUUCUGCUUUUUAAAAAUAUUAAAUUAGGCUGGAUGUGGUGGUUCACGCCUGCAAUCCCAACACUUUAAGACACCAAGGCAGGCAGAUCACUUGAGCCCAGGAGUUGGAGACCAGCCUGGGCAACAUGGCAAAACCCCAUCCCAACAAAAAAAGACAAAAAAAUUACCUGGAUGUGGUGAUGUACACCUGUGGUCCCAACUACUGGGGAGUCUGGGGCAGGAUGAUUAUCUGGGCCUGGAGAGGUGGAGGCUGCAGUGAGCCACAGCACUCCAGCCUGUGUGACAGAAUGGGACCCUGUCUCGAAAAAAAGUCUUAAAUUUGUGUAUCUUAAGAAUAUACAUUAAUAUAGACUAAAGAGUUUAAAUAUCAAAUAAAGAAGGGUUUUUUUUUUCAGUUGAAACAAUGUAUCAGAGGAUUAAAAAAACCAUAAAAUAUUUGUUUAAAUGUAAAGGAUUUGUUUAAUCUGCCCUAUUAAUUGAAAUUUUCACAGUUAACUAGUACUAUUUUUUAUUUAAAAAAUAGUAUGUAUGUAACAGAAAAGUAAAGAUGUGAAGUGUUGAUGCUGUUUUUCAGCAGCAGAAACUGGAAAACAUGCAGCCUCAUGAUUGUCAUACUCUUUCGCCAGAUCAUUGCGUUGUUUGCCCAGGCACCCCUCAUCCCAUCUCUCUCCAUCCCUUUUCUUACCUUUUCAUUUUCCUUGUCUUUUCAUUGGAGCAUUUACCAAUGUCUGAAGGUAGAAUGUUGUUGUUGAUUGACUCUCUCUUCAACUAGAACGUAAGCUAUAAGCGGCCCAGCCUUUGUCCCACACACUGCAGUGUGCCCCACUUCUAGGAAAGUGUCCAGCACACAGUAGGAACUCAGUCCGCAUUUCUUGAAUGAAUUAAGUGAGGUAUACAGGCCACAUUCUGAGCUGCUGGAGAAGCCAGUAGUUGAUUACCAAACUCUAGUCCUUUAUCUUGAUGUCCUAAUGUCCUGACUGAUACACUCAAUUUGUAGGCAAAUAGCUGGUGGGGUUUAGUAGUAUGGGGUAGAAUAAAGGGAGAUGUAGUUGGAACCCUCUAUCCACGUUAUCUGCCCCAUGAAAAGCUAGUUCCAGGCGUUGCCAUCUCUGCCCCACACGGGGCUUGCGUUAGUCCUCGUUCCCGCCUUUUCCAGACAGCAGUGCUGAGAAGCAGGAGCCCCUGAGCUGGAGACGCAGGAAUCCUGAGCCCUGGGAGGCCCAGAUCGAAGGGAGGCAGUCAGCUCAUGGAGCCGGGGAAUGUUCUGCUGGAACCACCCCCCGCCGCGAGGGUAUCCGGUAUGUUUCUGGGCACCAGCGACCCCUCCACACCUCACCAGACCGGAUCCCCAGCCCCGCGGGACCCGAUUCCGGCCUACACCCUCCAAUCCGGAACCAAAUCAGAAGAGCAGUCCCGAGUGCCCGCCUCACGGUCUGAAGCACCUCGUCCUACACCCGGACCCGAACACGAGGUCGGCUCAAGGAGGCACUGAGGUCAGGACAGUCAGGCAGUCAGGAUCCUGCGCCGCUUGUCGCAUGCAGUCUCCUUCCCCGAACCGCCGCCUGCACGGCCUCCACUGUCUUCCUAUUGGGCUGCAGCCUGCGAGGCCUGACAAUGGCGGCCCACAAAGCUGGAACGCGAAAGCGCAUGCGCCAGGCGCGAUCUCCAGGCGCCAGCGCUGAGGCGGGGGCCGGGGGAGCUCACGUCACAGUGACCGCCGCCGUUGCCGGGGGACUGGCCCCAGCGGCUUGGCGGGGCAGAAGCCGUCUGUGGCAGUGCGUCCGCUCUCCGCCGGAUAGUCGCCAUGGUCCCCGCGAUCCUAGUAGUCGGGCAGGGCCGAACCUGGCUGAAGAAACCUCAAGCGGAGAUUCAAGGAGGCACCACGUGAUCCCUAAGGAUUCCCCAGGAUGCGUCGGGCAUGACUAGAUGGUGUGGGGGUGUGUCUCCUUGACAGCUGUCCCGCGGGGAUUUCGAGGUACGGCCUGUGUUUCCCAGGGCUGUUCUCUUCCCGGAAGGGCUUCCUGGCAGGGAGCAGAACCCCGCAGCUUCAGGAGCUGCUUGGCUGUGUGUGUUUCUGCGCGAGUGUUGGAUGUCUGUGUGUGAGUGUGUGUGGUGUCCCGUGAAAGGAAUGUGGCUCGAGCAGUGGAGCGCGGUUUCUCUGUAGUGCGCCUACUCUCUGAUGCGCCCCUCUCUUUGGCCGGGCUUGGGUUGCGGGGCCAAGCGUUCUUUGUUUUGCUCUUGGUUCCUAAAGCCUCGGUGAAGUGGGGGUGCUGGCUGAGACCCGCAGGCGUCCAAAUCACCUCCCCACCCCAAGGGGGCCACUCUUCCAGAAAGAAGACGGGCACACCACACCCAAGAACAAAUUCCUCCGGGGGUCCAUGGUCCUGUGGUGCACCCAAGGCUGAACGGACCCUAGCCGUCCUGUCCUCAGGACCCCCCCUUGAGCCCGCUUCUAAUUCGGUGACUGGCGGAACCGGAGCUUCAGGACGUGAGGCGGGCACUCCUUCAUCCUCUUCGGAUUUCAUUCUGGAUUAAAGCAUGUGUGCAGAAAAAAGGUCAGAUGGGGGUGAGGAUACAAUCCGCUGAGCUGUGGAGGGGGUCUGGCACCUUCACCUGCAGAACAGGUGCAGAAAGAUGUCAAAGAAACUGCUUCCAACACCAUCCCCUUUUCCUCUUCAGUGUACAACCUUGUCCACACUAUGGCGCUGUGCUGGCGACAGAAGACACGAAUUUCAGAGAUCCUUUAGACCGCAAACUGUGGCCUUUCUUGCCAGGUCCCCUGUUGGACCCUGGUUCCCCGAGCCACAAGGGAGUGGGAUGGAUUGAUCCUGCCUGGGCUGCGGCCUCUACUCUGUCCUCCCUCUUUUCUUGCCUUCCCUGAUGCUUGUGGGCCCAGGUUUUCCUUGGUCUGGCUCACAGUCCUCCAGAAUGUCCUCCACAGCAAACGUUUCCCAGUUCGUCCAGGACCGCCUUGGCGGGGAUGUACGUGAUGAGUGUUUCCUUCUCAACACUCGCAUUUCUUAAUGACUGGAUAGCUGUGACGCUCGUGGAACCGUGGGUGCCCGUAGCUUCCGCCAACAAGGAAACUCUUGGUCUCCCUGUUGCAUCAGUUGGCUGCAUGAUUCACAUAGGAUGAGAGGUAGCCAGCCGUAGCUGGUCUUUGCCUUCUAAUCAAGGCUAUGUUUCAUCUCAUCUGCUGGUGUUUUCUCAUUGUUGAGGGGUCUUCCAUUGCUCUGUUCCUGGCUGGGACUGCCUCUCAGCACUGCACCUUUUGGUUGCCACGGAUUUCACGGAGCAAAAGGGACUGGGGGUUUGCUGGGUGCAGGCCCGGUGGUGGGUUGUGAUCCCGGUGUGGGAGUUGGGGUGGUUUGCAGUUUGCAGGAUCCUCUUGGCUCCUCUGGCAGGAAUCCCUGGACGAGGCUUGGACUCUGGCAUAGGCCCUCCUGUGGUUCCAGGUGUGCUUUGUUUGUGCUUCGCUUUCUUGGGCGAUCCUCAGUGGUCCUCGGCUGCAUGCCUGGACAUCCCUUUCAGGCUUGAAUUCACCCCAAAAGGCCUCUGAGACACUCUCUCCACCUUAUCUGCCCCCAUGGGAUGCCAGUUUCAGGUGUUGCCACCUCUGCUCCACAUUGGGCUUGCCUUUGUUCUUGUUUCCGCCUUUUCUCCACAGCAGUGCUGAGAAGCAGGAGGCCCUGGGCUUGGAGACCAGGACAGGGCCCUGAGAGGCCCAGGUCGAAGUGGGGCAGUCAGCUCAUGGGGUGGGGGAAUGUCCUACUCACACCCUCCACUGGGGUCUCAGAUAUGUUUUGCUGCCCCAGUGACCCCUCCACUCCUCACCAGAUUGGAUCCCCAGCCCCAUGGGACCCGAUUCCUGCCCACACCGUCCAAUCCGGAAUCAAAUUAGAGAGCAGUCCUGAGUGCCCACCUCACGGUCUGUAGUGCCUCCUCCUCCACCCAGACCCGAACACAAAGUGGGCUCAAGUAGGCACUGAGGUCAGGAUUGUCGGGGUCCUGCGCUGCUGGUCUCACUCAGACUCCUUCCUCCGGCCGCCGCCUGCACGGCCUCCAUCAUUUUCCUAUAGGGCUGUAGCCAGAGAGCCCGGACGCUGCUGCAGCGCCAGCCGGGCACGCGAAUGCGCAUGCGCCGUGGGCGCGUCACCAGGCGCGAUCGCCGAGCCGGUGCUUUCGUCACAGUGACCGCCACCGUUGCCUGGGGACGGGUCGCAGCAGCUUGGCGGAGCAGGACCCCUCCGUGGCAGUAAGUUGGCGCUGGGCUGUGGCCCCUCCUCUCCGGGGGAUCGUCGCCUUGGUCCCCCGGUCCUAGGAGUCCGGCAGAGCCAAACCAGGCUAAAGAAACCUCCAGCAGAGCUUCAAGGAUGCACCGCGUGAUCCCUAUCGGAUCUCCCCGAUGCAUCAGGCCUGCCCAGACAGUGUUGGGGGCGCGUCUCCUUGAAUGCUGUCCCACCUGGGAUUUCAAGGAAUUAUCCGAUGAAAAGUAGAAGAGGUUGAAUGGCUUUCAGUGGCCCUUUCUUCACAGGGCUCACCUGAAACUUCAUGUACCAUUGCACUUCCUGAGAAGCUGUCCCCAAUCCCAGGCUCCUAGCAAUGCUGUUCCAGUAAUCUCUCUUCUGUUAAGACAGCCACUCCACCCACUGCAGUUUACAAGCAAAGCCUCCACAGCUCUGGGUGCUGGGCCUGAGGUCAGACCAACCCAACCAGCUGACACCAGCGCAACACCCAAUCACACAGGCCCUGUGGAGGAGGCCCCUUCUACAGGAAGCAGCAGUACUGUGACACCGGAAAACAGGCUACAGCAAGGUACUGGCUGCCAGUCCAGGCACACAGAGCCAUCACUCUGAACUGGUACAUUCCAGGAAACCCCAAGAUUAUUCAGUAAGAACAGUCUCAGGAAAACAGGACCUUCAACAGAGAUAAGAGAAUUAAAAUACGCAGGCUAACAACUCUGGGAAUGGGCUGACCGGCCUGAUAAGAAUAGGCUGACGGCACCUACAGAAGGCCACAAAACACUGAUCAAGAAAGCAAUGACCAAGAAAGCAAUGACCUGAGACUGCACAUUUCACAAGAAUGUUUUGAUCAUCAUUUUUCCUAAUUUCCCUUAAAAUCCCCUGAUAUGGAGACAGAACUCAGUGGUCUUUGAACACUAGUUCACUGCCUCCCCUGGGUUGCUGGCUUCCUGAAUAAAGCUAACCUUCCUUUCACCAAUGCUCAUCUCUUGAGCUUUCAAGUGGCAAGUAGUCUGGACCUGAAUUUGGUUACAAAACCUAUGUAUACCUUACCUUACAUGGCAAAGGGGACUUUAGAAGUGCAAUUAAAUUAAGGAUCUUGAGAGGGGGUUAUCCUGGAUUAUCUGGUUGGGCCCAAUGUAUUUAUAAGUGAUAGAGGGAGGCAGGUGAGUAAAAGAAGGAAAUGUGAUGAUGAAAGCAAAGGUCGAAAUGUGAUUGCUGGCUUUGAAAACAGAUGGAAGCCACACCCCAGGGACCGUGGACCGCCUUUAGAACCAGAAAAAGACAAGGAAACAGAUUCUCCAGUCUUCUAGAACCUCCAGAAGGAACAUGGCUCUGCUAAUACUAUGAUAUUAGCCCUUUCAGACUGAUUUCAGACUUCUGACCAGCAGAAGUAUAAAUCAUAAUUAUACUGAUUUAAGCCACUAAGUAUGGUGGUUAUUAGUAACAGCAGCAACAGGAAACUAUAUCAGGAACAAGAGCCCUUCCUUCACAGGACCCUGUUCCCAUUCAAUCCUCAAAGUUUCACGGAAAAUCUUGCCACACACUGAGACUAGGAACAUCCAACAAAAAAAUGCUGUCACUUUCAAGUGGAAAACGCAAGUUUGUAGAGAAGACCAAACUUUGUCAUGUGUCACAUUCAAACACUCAUCUCUACCUCACCAAACCGUGGUACUAACGUGUACCAUUCUUAAAAGGAGGUAUUUCUGUUCCCUCAGGGCUCUGGGAAGAAGACUAUGCCUGUGGACAAUGCAGAAUUAUCUGCUGAAUGAACAUCUAAAAACUGUUUGGAGAGGGGAAAAGCACUGAGAAGAAUUGGGCUCUUUGCUACUAUUACUCACUAGAAUGGGAGACUUUGGCAGCAGUUCCCUUAAGGGACCAAACAAGGCAGGAAAUUCUGGGAUAAAUAAAUCUGGUGUUCACAUUACACAACAAAAUGAUUGUACUUCAAGAAGGAAAGAAACAGCAACUCACGUGGGGCAUGGUUUUUUAGAACUGUCAGAACUGAUCGAUUUUCUGGGUUCCUUUCCUGGAGGUGUGCAAAGUCCAGAGAAGCCAGUGCUGGAGAAGGAAAAAAAGCCACAAGAUUGAGUUGGCUCACAGCCCACAAAAUAAAACUACUUAGAACUACCUUUACUUCUCCUCUUUUGGGAAUUUGGAAAAAAAUCUCAGUCCUUCCACAAACCCAGUGGAAGCCAGCUACUGCAGAAGGGGUUCAGGCCAGACCUUUCCUUAAUGUCCAUGUUGAACAGGACCCUAGGUGCUGUUACUUUCCCAUGGCAUCUUCACCUCCACAGUAGAACAGGGGCAUGCCCAGGGAGCCCCCCACCAUCCCCCUGGACCCAAAGUGAGGUGCUUUGCUCCCAAUCUUAGGAAGGCGCUUCAGAGACCAAAAUGUGGCCUCCUUUCAGACAUCAUGAACAUCAGCUAGACUCACAGACAUUUUGACAGACACAUCAGAGUCAACAGAUCCAAAACAGUCUCAUCCCACUCCCCUGAAGCUAGUUCUUUUUUGCCUGUUUACUCUUCCCUAUAAAAGAAAAUUCCUUUAUGCCUGACCUUUGCUAUGCUUGCAGAUCUUACGGUUGUAGUGUUCUUCCAAUUACAACACCUCUUCCCUUACUGCAAUGUUUCUAUGAAUAAAUAGUCAUUCCUUACCUAA
Macaca mulatta (Rhesus monkey) is the source of this 8624-nucleotide non-coding RNA. NCBI's taxonomy places the organism in Eukaryota, Metazoa, Chordata, Mammalia, Primates, Cercopithecidae. The record is from RefSeq and is a predicted model, not a curated record.